Oryctolagus cuniculus (rabbit) is the source of this 1632-nucleotide non-coding RNA. The record is from RefSeq and is a predicted model, not a curated record. NCBI's taxonomy places the organism in Eukaryota, Metazoa, Chordata, Mammalia, Lagomorpha, Leporidae.
UUGAUCUUCUAUCCUCUGCUCACUCCCCAUAUGGUACCAAUGGCCCAUACAGCCUGGUUUCAAGCCAGGAGUCUUUGGGGCUGGCACGGUGGUAUAAUGGGUUAGGCCACCAGUGCAAUGCUGGCAUCUAAUUGGGAGCUGGAUUGACUCUGGGCUGCUUCACUCUUGAUCCAGCUCCCUGCUAAUGGGUCUGGGAAAGCUACGAAAGUUGGCCCCAAAAUUAGGCCGCUUCUCCCAAGUAGCAGACCCGGAGCUCCUGGUUCUGGGCUUUAGCUUGGCGGUGCCUUGGCCAUUGUGACUAUAUGGGAAGUGAACCAGCAGACGGAAGACAUCUCUCUCUCUCUCUGCCUCUGCUUCUCUGGAACUCUACCUUUGAAAUGAAUAAAUCUAUCAAAAGAAAGAAAACUCAAACCUCUCCCUCCCUCUCGCUCUGUAACAUAGCCUUAAAAUUGACAAAAUAAAUCUUUUAGAAAAGCCUAGAAUUCCACCCAGGUGUCCCAUGGAGGUGGCAGGUGCUCAGGUACUGGACCAUCUUCCAAUGGAUGCUCAGGUGUUUUAGCAGGGAGCUGGCUCAGAGUCGGGGUAUGAACAGGCCCUGCAAUUAUGGGAUGCUGGCAUCAUAAGCUGUGACUUAGCCCACUGUGCCAUACACCAGCCCCCAAGAACCAAGGUUUCUUUCUUGUUCCAGAUCUGGUAUCAGUGAAGUAUAGGAGUUUUGCUUGACCUCAGAGACGUGUCACAGCCUUUUGUCAAACUUGGUGCCAUUGGGUGUGGUGAUAAAUAAUCUGCUCGUGUUUUGAACGUGUUUUACUAAACUGAUAGAGGCCCUCGUACCCGGCUAAAGUCUGCUGGGGACCAAGUGCUAAUGGGGUGGACAUGCAGAACCAGUGACAGCCAGAUUAAUCAUCAACAGAGAAAGUGUCUACACAAUGUUGCUUUAGCGGGGCAACCAGACAUGGAACCCCACCCUCACCCGUGGCCAGGAAGGGCAGGGGACACAGGCACAGCCCCUGGGUGGCCACCCCUGGUCACAGUGCCUGAGCUGGAUGAGCUCAUAAUGCAGGUGGCGUCCAUGCCAGGGCUCUGCCGGGCAGGAGGCGCAGGUACAGGAAGAGUUCUCCAUCCGGAGGGCUUCCAGUGGGGGCUGUGAAUGCCAGGAUGGUGGGAGCCCUCUCUCCUGGGAAGAGAGCCUGUGUCUGAGAUGGAGUCCAAGGGACAGAGAGGUGCAUCAGCACGGGGCUGGAUUGGAAGUGGAGUAACUGGGACACGAACCGGCGCCCACACGGGAGUUACCCACUACACCACCAUGCAGGUUCCCGAAGCGGUCUCACUGUACCUUCCCACCCGGAGUCUACCUGGAGCACCUCCUUGCUGGCAGGUCCCCAGGACUUCCUAAGGCACACGGAGUGGCCUCUCUGUGAGCCCAGCUGAUGGGAGCAGCCAGAGGAGGGCUCCUUUGGGCCCGAAGAGAUGUGGAGGGAUUGCUGCCUCCUGGACAGCUUCAGCCAGGCCGGGCCCAGCCCAAGGCUCCAGGCCUCUGCAUCCCUCAGCAGCCUCGUCUGAGUCUUGCAGGUCCCCGUGGUCCUGCUCAGCUGCAGAUCUCCACCCAGGGUCACAAGUAGCCCCCUUCCC